This 56-nucleotide transfer RNA is filed under the name Stenotrophomonas sp. Pemsol. RNAcentral's name for it is "tRNA-Ser". It matches the Rfam family "tRNA", at positions 19 to 71 of the family's 71-position model. From Rfam's summary of the family: Transfer RNA (tRNA) molecules are approximately 80 nucleotides in length. Their secondary structure includes four short double-helical elements and three loops (D, anti-codon, and T loops). The record is from RNAcentral. Lineage: Bacteria; Pseudomonadati; Pseudomonadota; Gammaproteobacteria; Lysobacterales; Lysobacteraceae.
UAGGACAUCACCCUUUCACGGUGGCGACCGGGGUUCGAAUCCCCGUGGGGACGCCA